GCAGUGCCCUACUUAGAAAGGUGCUAGUCACUUACACUACAUGUCACUGUGUCCUUUCUGUGUAGAGUACAGCU
MicroRNA precursor from Nomascus leucogenys (northern white-cheeked gibbon), 74 nucleotides. The record is from Rfam. Lineage: Eukaryota; Metazoa; Chordata; Mammalia; Primates; Hylobatidae.